Molecule: unclassified non-coding RNA, 276 nt
Filed under: plant metagenome
Description: partial contains small subunit ribosomal RNA, internal transcribed spacer 1, and 5.8S ribosomal RNA
Rfam family: Eukaryotic small subunit ribosomal RNA (bases 1-54)
Source: RNAcentral
GGAAGUAAAAGUCGUAACAAAGUUUCCGUAGGUGAACCUGCGGAAGGAUCAUUAACGAGUUAGGGUCUUCCAGGCCCGACCUCCCAACCCUAUGUUUAUUGAACCUCUGUUGCUUCGGCGGACCCGUCUCACGACCGCCGGAGGACCGCCGCGAGGCGUCCUCUGGCCAGCGUCCGCCGAUGGCCAACCACUUAAACUCUGAAUGAAUCGUGUCAUUAUGUCUAAGUCUAUGAUUAAAUUAAAGCAAAACUUUCAACAACGGAUCUCUUGGUUCUG